UACGGAGGGUGCGAGCGUUAUCCGGAAUCACUGGGCUUAAAGGGGGCGUAGGCGGCUCGGUAAGUCAGUUGUGAAAGCCCCUUGCUUAACGAGGGAGGUGCGGUUGAUACUGUCGAGCUUGAAUCGGGAUGAGGCAGGCGGAAUGUGGCAUGUAGCGGUGAAAUGCAUAGAUAUGCCAGAGAACACCGAUUGCGAAGGCAGCCUGCUGGGCCUGUAUUGACGCUGAGGCACGAAAGCGUGGGGAGCAAACAGG
Molecule: ribosomal RNA, 253 nt
Filed under: uncultured bacterium
Lineage: Bacteria
Description: partial 16S ribosomal RNA
Rfam family: Bacterial small subunit ribosomal RNA
Source: RNAcentral